Molecule: ribosomal RNA, 305 nt
Filed under: uncultured bacterium
Lineage: Bacteria
Description: bacterial SSU rRNA
Rfam family: Bacterial small subunit ribosomal RNA
Source: RNAcentral
CCUACGGGGCGCAGCAGUGAGGAAUAUUGGUCAAUGGACGAGAGUCUGAACCAGCCAAGUAGCGUGAAGGAUGACUGCCCUAUGGGUUGUAAACUUCUUUUCUAUGGGAAUAAAACAGGGUAUGCAUACCCUCUUGUAUGUACCAUAUGAAUAAGGAUCGGCUAACUCCGUGCCAGCAGCCGCGGUAAUACGGAGGAUGCGAGCGUUAUCCGGAUUUAUUGGGUUUAAAGGGUGCGCAGGCGGCGAGUUAAGUCAGCGGUAAAAUUUCGGGGCUCAACCCCGACGAGCCGUUGAAACUGGCUUGC